This 253-nucleotide ribosomal RNA is filed under the name uncultured bacterium. Its description in RNAcentral is "partial 16S ribosomal RNA". It matches the Rfam family "Bacterial small subunit ribosomal RNA", at positions 524 to 776 of the family's 1533-position model. The record is from RNAcentral.
UACGAAGGGAGCUAGCGGUGUUCGGAAUUACUGGGCGUAAAGCGCACGUAGGCGGGCUGAUAAGUCAGGGGUGAAAUCCCGAGGCUCAACCUCGGAACUGCCUUUGAUACUGUUAGUCUUGAGAUCGGGAGAGGUGAGUGGAAUUCCUAGUGUAGAGGUGAAAUUCGUAGAUAUUAGGAAGAACACCAGUGGCGAAGGCGGCUCGCUGGCCCGAUACUGACGCUGAGGUGCGAAAGCGUGGGGAGCAAACAGG